This 196-nucleotide ribosomal RNA is filed under the name Onchocerca volvulus. RNAcentral's name for it is "partial 18S ribosomal RNA". It matches the Rfam family "Eukaryotic small subunit ribosomal RNA", at positions 1641 to 1831 of the family's 1831-position model. The record is from RNAcentral. Lineage: Eukaryota; Metazoa; Nematoda; Chromadorea; Rhabditida; Onchocercidae.
UUGAUUACGUCCCUGCCCUUUGUACACACCGCCCGUCGCUGCCCGGGACUGAGCCGUUUCGAGAAAAGCGGAGACUGCUGUUUCGAUACCUUUCGGGGUGGAGAUUCUUUGGUGGAAACCGCUUUAAUCGCAGUGGCUUGAACCGGGCAUAAGUCGUAACAAGGUUUCCGUAGGUGAACCUGCGGAAGGAUCAUUA